Long non-coding RNA from Spodoptera frugiperda (fall armyworm), 1762 nucleotides. RefSeq lists it as uncharacterized. The record is from RefSeq and is a predicted model, not a curated record. NCBI's taxonomy places the organism in Eukaryota, Metazoa, Arthropoda, Insecta, Lepidoptera, Noctuidae. The transcript has 2 exons.
UGGAUAAAAGAAAGAGACUGGAUUGGCCUUGUGGGCGGGCCACACGCGCCGAGGGUGCGAACGAACGUGCAUACCGCUGUCGUAACGCUCAAAUGUUCAUACUGACCGGCUAGCAAUCGCUGUCAUGUUUUGACAGCGUACGUAUCUCCGCAAAAAAUAUUAUAUUAUGCCGUCUUGCGCUAUUAUAACGUGUCGGAAAAGAAGCCAGGUGUGUAGCAUAGCACGAGAAGGAAUUUCUUUUCACCGGUUUCCAACAGAUCCAGGUGUAAGAAAAUUGUGGAUUGACACAACUGGUAGAAUUAAUUGGAUUCCUACUAAAUGUAGCAUAUUUCGUUAUAAAUAUAACUAUAACCAUGUUAUUUCAAUGUGUUCUGUACUUUAUACAAAUUUAUAGUAAAUGUGAGAGCCCUGUAAUUAGCUAAAAUGACAAUGCCAGAAUCUCUAUAGAGCUUUGCCUCACCAAAAAAUAUAUUGUACAUUCAUGCCAAAUGUAGCAUUCAAUUGCUGCUCUAUUAGUGAUAACUAAAAACAUGAUUAAAAGCCUUUAGAGCUUGCGGUUUCUAUAUAAAUCUAAGAACAAAAUAUUACAUUUAAGUACCAGUUUAGAUUAAUUGCAGUUAUAAUGGUAGAAAUAAUUAAAUUAAGUGCUUUAUAUUAUUACAAUGCUAUCAUAGGGGGUUUAGCUAUGGAAGGAAGGAAUUUCAUCACCAAUAUCACCUUUAGUAAUCCUACUUUUAAUUCAUAGUCAUAACGAAACAACAAUGUAAACAGAACAGACAGAGCGAAUGUCAAAUAAUGACUUUUUGGACGUAACUGACACACGCAUGCCAAUGACGUUUCGUUACAUCUAAUCACUAACGUUCAAACACGAAAUAAUAAUUAGAAUAUGCAUUCAUUAUAAUAUAUAUUAUAAAAAAAUAAAUUAACUAACAGUAUGUAUUUAUACCAAAUUCAUAUUAAAAUCCGUACACAUGACAUUAAUAAAUCCUUUUUUUAUUGAAUGACUCUUUGUGUUCCUUUUGCAAGCGUACUAAGAAACGCAGAUGGUCGCGAUAUAUAUAUAUAAUACAGGAAGCAGGCCUUGGGUUUUUAAAUUCUUUUUAUUUCCGAUUUUUAUCCGCAACUUUAUCAGGAUAAUAAUUAAGUAACCAAACGUCUUAUUUUCAUUGCAUAAUAUUGAUUAAUUUUACAUUUCUUGUACAUUGAUGAAAUUAAGUGGGGCAGGAUCUGGCAUUGUCAUUUAAUUAGACUAGUAGAAUGCAUUUGUGUCAGCUUAGAGUUGUCAUGCUCACUCAAAGGUCUCAUUGGCGGUGGCACGGGCAUUGGAUCGUUCGAUUCCCUGCAACAUGGUUGCGUUGGACGGUGCUGGUGUACGUGCCAUGUUGGUGAACGAGCGCUGUCAACUGGGACUGGUCAGCUCCAGACUGUAUUAAUUUUGUUGUUCUUAAGGUUUUUUUUCUCUCGCUUUGACUGAAUAUUAGUUUUACAUUGUUCUCACAUAGUUGAAGCAAUCGAUGCAAAGAAAAGCAAUGUAAUCAAGAAUUGUAUUGUGAAUCUGAUUGAAAAAGAUCGAAUGAACAGAUCUUCGUUCUUCUCCAUAGGAAUCUACACUUUGGAACGAGCAAAUAGCUUCACUAGAGGGCUGACCGACAGACAGACGUUAUUAAUAUUAUUAUAUUUGCUUUGACGUUCAAAAGUGCCUAUGAUUUAAUUUUUUUACUGAUUUUUAACUUAUUGAGUAAAAAAGUGGUUUUAAAAUUCA